This 466-nucleotide ribosomal RNA is filed under the name Pegomya winthemi. Its description in RNAcentral is "partial 16S ribosomal RNA". It matches the Rfam family "Bacterial large subunit ribosomal RNA", at positions 1922 to 2596 of the family's 2925-position model. The record is from RNAcentral. Lineage: Eukaryota; Metazoa; Arthropoda; Insecta; Diptera; Anthomyiidae.
UUUAAAUGGCCGCAGUAUACUAACUGUGCAAAGGUAGCAUAAUCAUUAGUCUUUUAAUUGAAGGCUGGUAUGAAUGGUUGGACGAGAUAUUAACUGUUUCAUAAAAAUUUAUAAUAGAAUUUUAUUUUUUAGUCAAAAAGCUAAAAUAAAUUUAAAAGACGAGAAGACCCUAUAAAUCUUUAUAUUUAGAUUAUUAUAAUUAUUUUGAUUUAUUUUGUUAUAAUAAUUAAUAAUAUUUUAUUGGGGUGAUAUUAAAAUUUAAUAAACUUUUAAUUUUUUAAAAUCAUUAAUAUAUGAAUAAUUGAUCCGUUAUUAACGAUUAAAAAAUCAAGUUACUUUAGGGAUAACAGCGUAAUUUUUUUGGAGAGUUCAUAUCGAUAAAAAAGAUUGCGACCUCGAUGUUGGAUUAANAUAUAAUUUUAGGUGUAGCCGCUUAAAUUUUAAGUCUGUUCGACUUUUAAAUUCU